CUAGUACGGCGAGUGAGAGGGAAGAGCCCAAGAUUGAAAGCUGGCGCCUUCGGCGUCCGCAUUGUAAUCUCAAGAAGUGUUUUCCGCUUCGGACCAUGCCUAAGUCCCUUGGAAAAGGGCAUCAUAGAGGGUGAUAAUCCCGUACAUGGCAUGGAGCGCCCGAAGCUUUGUGAUACGCUUUCUAAGAGUCGAGUUGUUUGGGAAUGCAGCUCAAAAUGGGUGGUAAAUGCCAUCUAAGGCUAAAUAUUGGGGAGAGACCGAUAGCGAACAAGUACAGUGAUGGAAAGAUGAAAAGAACUUUGAAAAGAGAGUUAAACAGUACGUGAAAUUGCCAAAAGGGAAGGGUAGGAGGUCAGAGAUGCGUUCUAGGAUUCAGCCUUGCUUUUGCAUGGUGUUUUUUCUAGUUUGCAGGCCAACGUCGGUUUUGGGCACUGGAGAAGGGUGGAAGGAAUGUGGCACCUCUCGGGGUGUGUUAUAGCCUUCUACUGGAUACAGCGACCGAGACCGAGGACAGCAGCGUACUCGCAAGAGCGGGCCUUCGGGCACCUUUACGCUUAGGGCGUUGGCAUAAUGGCCCUCUACCACCCGUCUUGA
RNAcentral lists this ribosomal RNA (594 nucleotides) under Moesziomyces antarcticus. RNAcentral describes it as "partial large subunit ribosomal RNA". It matches the Rfam family "Eukaryotic large subunit ribosomal RNA", at positions 80 to 657 of the family's 3401-position model. Lineage: Eukaryota; Fungi; Basidiomycota; Ustilaginomycetes; Ustilaginales; Ustilaginaceae. The record is from RNAcentral.